AGGACGAACGCUGGCGGCGCGCUUAACACAUGCAAGUCGAGCGAGAACCGGUCCUUCGGGACCGGGGAAAGCGGCGAACGGGUGAGUAACACGUGGGUAAUCAACCCUCGGUACCGGGAUAGCCCGAGGAAACUCGGAUUAAUACCGGAUGGCCCAACAGCCUUUCGGGGCGGUUGGAAAAGGUAGCUUCGGCCUCCGACCGAGGACGAGCCCGCGGCGGAUUAGCUUGUUGGUGGGGUAACGGCCCACCAAGGCGACGAUCCGUAGCUGGUCUGAGAGGACGAUCAGCCACACUGGGACUGAGACACGGCCCAGACUCCUACGGGAGGCAGCAGUGGGGAAUCUUGCACAAUGGGCGAAAGCCUGAUGCAGCGACGCCGCGUGAGGGAAGAAGGCUUUCGGGUUGUAAACCUCUUUCAGGAGGGACGAAGCUACUCGGGUUAAUAGCCAGAGGGUGACGGUACCUCAGAAGAACGCCCGGCUAACUACGUGCCAGCAGCCGC
RNAcentral lists this ribosomal RNA (503 nucleotides) under uncultured bacterium. RNAcentral describes it as "SSU rRNA". It matches the Rfam family "Bacterial small subunit ribosomal RNA", at positions 26 to 518 of the family's 1533-position model. The record is from RNAcentral.